GGGGAAUAUUGCACAAUGGAGGAAACUCUGAUGCAGCGACGCCGCGUGAGUGAAGAAGGUCUUCGGAUCGUAAAACUCUGUCCUUGGUGACGAAAAAAUGACGGUAGCCAAGGAGGAAGCCCCGGCUAACUACGUGCCAGCAGCCGCGGUAAUACGUAGGGGGCGAGCGUUGUCCGGAAUUACUGGGCGUAAAGGGCGCGUAGGCGGCCUGUUAAGUCAGAUGUGAAACCCCCAGGCUCAACUUGGGGAUUGCAUAUGAAACUGAUGGGCUCGAGUGUCGGAGAGGAAAGCGGAAUUCCUAGUGUAGCGGUGAAAUGCGUAGAUAUUAGGAGGAACACCGGUGGCGAAGGCGGCUUGCUGGACAAAUACUGACGCUGAGGUGCGAAAGCGUGGGGAGCAAACA
RNAcentral lists this ribosomal RNA (403 nucleotides) under uncultured Eubacteriales bacterium. RNAcentral's name for it is "bacterial SSU rRNA". It matches the Rfam family "Bacterial small subunit ribosomal RNA", at positions 356 to 774 of the family's 1533-position model. Lineage: Bacteria; Bacillati; Bacillota; Clostridia; Eubacteriales. The record is from RNAcentral.